Molecule: ribosomal RNA, 252 nt
Filed under: uncultured bacterium
Lineage: Bacteria
Description: partial 16S ribosomal RNA
Rfam family: Bacterial small subunit ribosomal RNA
Source: RNAcentral
UACGUAGGGACCGAGCGUUGUCCGGAUUCAUUGGGCGUAAAGAGCUCGUAGGCGGCUGUUCAAGUCGAACGUGAAACUCGGGGCUCAACUCCGAGCCUGCGUUCGAUACUGGAUGGCUAGAGUCUGGUAGGGGGAUCUGGAAUUCCUGGUGUAGCGGUGGAAUGCGCAGAUAUCAGGAAGAACACCCGUGGCGAAGGCGGCUCUCUGGGACGGUACUGACGCUGAGACGCGAAAGCGUGGGGAGCGAACAGG